UUAGGGAGCGAAGCAAUUGGAAGUGGUUCCAAGAAAAGCCUCUAAGCUUCAGUCUAACGAUGACCGUACCGCAAACCGACACAGGUGGGCGAGAUGAGUAUUCUAAGGCGCUUGAGAGAACUCGGGAGAAGGAACUCGGCAAAUUGGUACCGUAACUUCGGGAUAAGGUACGCCCUUGUAGCUUGACUGGCCUGCGCCAGGAGGGUGAAGGGGUUGCAAUAAACUGGUGGCUGCGACUGUUUAAUAAAAACACAGCACUCUGCAAACACGAAAGUGGACGUAUAGGGUGUGACGCCUGCCCGGUGCCGGAAGAUUAAAUGAUGGGGUGCAAGCUCUUGAUUGAAGUCCCGGUAAACGGCGGCCGUAACUAUAACGGUCCUAAGGUAGCGAAAUUCCUUGUCGGGUAAGUUCCGACCUGCACGAAUGGCGUAACGAUGGCCACACUGUCUCCUCCCGAGACUCAGCGAAGUUGAAGUGUUUGUGAUGAUGCAAUCUACCCGCGGCUAGACGGAAAGACCCCAUGAACCUUUACUGUAGCUUUGCAUUGGACUUUGAACCGAUCUGUGUAGGAUAGGUGGGAGGCUAUGAAACCGGAACGCUAGUUUCGGUGGAGCCGUCCUUGAAAUACCACCCUGGUUUGUUUGAGGUUCUAACCUUGGCCCGUGAUCCGGGUCGGGGACAGUGCAUGGUAGGCAGUUUGACUGGGGCGGUCUCCUCCCAAAGCGUAACGGAGGAGUACGAAGGUACGCUAGGUACGGUCGGAAAUCGUGCUGAUAGUGCAAUGGCAUAAGCGUGCUUAACUGCGAGACCGACAAGUCGAGCAGGUGCGAAAGCAGGUCAUAGUGAUCCGGUGGUUCUGUAUGGAAGGGCCAUCGCUCAACGGAUAAAAGGUACUCUGGGGAUAACAGGCUGAUACCGCCCAAGAGUUCAUAUCGACGGCGGUGUUUGGCACCUCGAUGUCGGCUCAUCUCAUCCUGGGGCUGUAGCCGGUCCCAAGGGUAUGGCUGUUCGCCAUUUAAAGAGGUACGUGAGCUGGGUUUAAAACGUCGUGAGACAGUUUGGUCCCUAUCUGCCGUGGGCGUUGGAUAUUUGAAGGGGGCUGCUCCUAGUACGAGAGGACCGGAGUGGACGAACCUCUGGUGUACCGGUUGUCACGCCAGUGGCAUCGCCGGGUAGCUAUGUUCGGAAGAGAUAACCGCUGAAAGCAUCUAAGCGGGAAACUCGCCUUAAGAUGAGAUAUCCCUGGGGACUAGAUCCCCUUGAAGGGUCGUUCGAGACCAGGACGUUGAUAGGUCAGGUGUGUAAGCGCAGUAAUGCGUUCAGCUAACUGAUACUAAUUGCCCGUAAGGCUUGAUCC
RNAcentral lists this ribosomal RNA (1357 nucleotides) under Burkholderia cenocepacia. Its description in RNAcentral is "23S ribosomal RNA (partial)". It matches the Rfam family "Bacterial large subunit ribosomal RNA", at positions 1578 to 2925 of the family's 2925-position model. RNAcentral also lists the same sequence under 1 other name. Lineage: Bacteria; Pseudomonadati; Pseudomonadota; Betaproteobacteria; Burkholderiales; Burkholderiaceae. The record is from RNAcentral.